AGUGAACGCUGGCGGUAGGCCUAACACAUGCAAGUCGAACGGCAGCACAGUAAGAGCUUGCUCUUACGGGUGGCGAGUGGCGGACGGGUGAGGAAUACAUCGGAAUCUACUUUUUCGUGGGGGAUAACGUAGGGAAACUUACGCUAAUACCGCAUACGACCUACGGGUGAAAGCAGGGGAUCUUCGGACCUUGCGCGAUUGAAUGAGCCGAUGUCGGAUUAGCUAGUUGGCGGGGUAAAGGCCCACCAAGGCGACGAUCCGUAGCUGGUCUGAGAGGAUGAUCAGCCACACUGGAACUGGAACACGGUCCAGACUCCUACGGGAGGCAGCAGUGGGGAAUAUUGGACAAUGGGGGCAAGCCUGAUCCAGCCCUACCGCGUGGGUGAAGAAGGCCUUCGGGUUGUAAAGCCCUUUUGUUGGGAAAGAAAAGCAGCAGGUUAAUACCCCGCUGUUCUGACGGUACCCAAAGAAUAAGCACCGGCUAACUUCGUG
This 492-nucleotide ribosomal RNA is filed under the name uncultured bacterium. RNAcentral describes it as "partial 16S ribosomal RNA". It matches the Rfam family "Bacterial small subunit ribosomal RNA", at positions 29 to 507 of the family's 1533-position model. The record is from RNAcentral.